RNAcentral lists this transfer RNA (70 nucleotides) under Pseudophoraspis kabakovi. RNAcentral's name for it is "tRNA-Val". The record is from RNAcentral. Lineage: Eukaryota; Metazoa; Arthropoda; Insecta; Blattodea; Blaberidae.
CAAAUUACCUAGUUUAGUUUAGAAUUCCAUUUACACUGGAAUAUAGGUCGUGCAAUUCGAUAUAAUUUGA